This 1073-nucleotide small RNA is filed under the name Pan troglodytes (chimpanzee). Its description in RNAcentral is "retained intron". Lineage: Eukaryota; Metazoa; Chordata; Mammalia; Primates; Hominidae. The record is from RNAcentral.
CUCGGAGAGCCUUUUGCUAGCCCCACGGGGACCUCUGUGCACGGAUGGACCCGCCCGGACCUGGCGGGAAGCGGCCUGGCAGGCGGCGGCCCCGGCGGCAUCAGCAGAGACAGGACGGGGCCGACGCCGCGGGCCCCUGAGGCGUGCGUGCCCACCGGGCCCGGCGGCGGCACCAUGAUGCCGGGCGAGACCCAUUCGGCGGCGCCCGGGACGGCGGCGGACCUGUCGCGAUGUCAGGGCUGCGCCUCUCUGCAGCAGAAUUUGAAUGAAUAUGUUGAAGCAUUAAUUACCUUGAAACAAAAAAUUAUCAAUACAGAUAAUUUGUUAACAGAAUAUCAGAAGAAAUGUGAUGAUAUCCUUUUACUGGCUUUUUCUGUUGAGUUUUGGAACUAACUUAUGUUUAAUUCCUGAAAGAGAUGUGAGAAUUGUUCCUCAUAGGCCUUUUGGAAGAUAGUACUUAACAGGCUUCAGUAGGGAGCAUGUCUCACAAGCACAGUAAACAGACAGUCCUUUUAUUCUUAAUCCAUGUUUAAUGAUGAGUUUUAAAAAUGAGAUUACUUUUCUUGUUGAUUGUGAUUUUCUUAACGUCUCAUAAGCUUUUUAGUGGGUGGGUUUCUCUUAAUUUGUACUGAGGAUGUGGCAUGUUUUUUAGGUUUACGAAUAAUGUGAAACUGAAUGUGAUACUUGCUGAAUGUUAUUUUUGAAUCUGCAAGAAGUACAGUAUGGGAAAUUCAAAAUGUUGGGCAAUUGACUUUCAUUAAUUAUUUUUGUGAUUUACAGGGAAAUGUGUGUGUAUAUAUAUAUCUCCAAAAUCAUAGAAAUAGUGUUGCUGUAUAUUCAUGAAUGCUGUUGGGCAGUCAGAAGACAAUUCUUGGCCUUACAGUCACCAUUUGUUCGAUAGCCAUUUAAUGAGCUCGGUUGUGGAGUUAGUAUCUGGUCGGCUAUUUUUUUAGCAGUGGGAAAAAGAUGUGUGUAAUUGAUCCUUCCAUGUCUUGCUGUGGUAAUACCUUGAUUUAAAUCUCUCCUGUAAAAACUUAAAGUUUCUCUCAUAAAAGUAAACAUACGUACUCCUU